UCAGACUUGAUUAGACGUGGUAGGUCGAUGACGACUGCACCGAGUUCGGAUCCCCCGGCUCAGUCGGCAUCUGUUGCCACAGCUCCAGCUUUGAUGGAGCACGUGCUGGUUGGUCCCGGGGCGUCCCAGGCGCCAGCGUCAUCUGCGUCAUCCGUCGCGCAGCCAGCUAGUGCUAGGCGGCGGCACCGGCCUGCCGACACCACCGAGACGACAUCGACCGAGGGUACUGGUGCCUC
Molecule: long non-coding RNA, 236 nt
Filed under: Prunus persica (peach)
Lineage: Eukaryota; Viridiplantae; Streptophyta; Magnoliopsida; Rosales; Rosaceae
Description: long non-coding RNA (PPER_LNC002309)
Source: RNAcentral